This is a long non-coding RNA of Procambarus clarkii (red swamp crayfish), 434 nucleotides long. RefSeq lists it as uncharacterized. The record is from RefSeq and is a predicted model, not a curated record. NCBI's taxonomy places the organism in Eukaryota, Metazoa, Arthropoda, Malacostraca, Decapoda, Cambaridae.
UCUCUCGCCACGUCAGCACCUUCGGUCCCAGGAGCCUCCCACCGCACCUCACCGACCGGGUAUAACAGCACACUGUUUCCUGUGUCUUCAGAGACCUGUUGAGAUACAAGAAUGCUGAUAACGGUAAGGUCGUGGGGGCUGCUGGUGACGGUUCUGCCAACACUUGUGGUUGUCGCACAUCUGCGUCGCCCCUCUGAAAAUGCUGAUGCGCUAACACCUGCAUCAAGCGCUGUGAGAGAAGUGAUGGAGAAUGAACCACAACCUCUCUGCUCUGUGGUAGUCUUCGCUGAUGGAGGCCUCUCUACUUCAUUCAUAGCCUCGGUAACACGAGAGAGCCACAUGUUACCGGGUGUGACAGUGUUGGAGGUGUCAGCGGUCGGCCAGAACGCAAACUUGACGCUAAUGCAAGUUUCCAAGGUGCUCGGCGUGGCUCU